This 209-nucleotide ribosomal RNA is filed under the name Klebsiella pneumoniae. Its description in RNAcentral is "partial 23S ribosomal RNA". It matches the Rfam family "Bacterial large subunit ribosomal RNA", at positions 2734 to 2925 of the family's 2925-position model. The record is from RNAcentral. Lineage: Bacteria; Pseudomonadati; Pseudomonadota; Gammaproteobacteria; Enterobacterales; Enterobacteriaceae.
GGCACUGCCCGGUAGCUAAAUGCGGAAGAGAUAAGUGCUGAAAGCAUCUAAGCACGAAACUUGCCCCGAGAUGAGUUCUCCCUGAGACUAUAAGUCUCCUGAAGGAACGUUAAAGACGAUGACGUUGAUAGGCCGGGUGUGUAAGCGCAGCGAUGCGUUGAGCUAACCGGUACUAAUGAACCGUGAGGCUUAACCUUACAACGCCGAAG